GUAAUUGCUGAAUGUUCACUAUUAUUAUCACCAUGAAGUACAGAAGAUUUGCUGGAAGUCCUAGGAAAGACCAGAUUCUACCUGAAGCCACUUAACAUCUAGCCCACCAAUGAGUCACAGCACAGGCUAGUAAUUUCUUACUAAAGAAAAGUAGGUUCUAACAAAUCUGUAAGUACCAGUGUCCUCACCAGAAAGCAUUGUUGUGCCUGCUUAAUCUCCUCAUUUGUUCCCAAUAUAUAUUUGGAGCUCAGGGACCAGCUGCUGUGUCAUGAGUAUUAGCUGUCACGAGGUUUAGUGGCAGCAAAUACCCAUGCCAGUCCACUCCCAGAAAGAUCAGAAAAAUGCAAGUACUAUAGGUGAAAACCAGGGGACCCUGAGGCUGGUUCCCUUUUUUUCCUUUUUGAAAGUUGUGUAUUUAUGUUUGGAAUAGUGAUUUGCAGUGGGAAGGCCGGCGAAGCAGUGGAAAUCUGUGUUCAGUGGCUGAUGAGUGGCUUUUGACCACCAUAAUUUUCUUCCUGACAUGUUUGACAAGAGCAUUGUUGUCUUCUUAGCAUCGUGACACUAUCUGGGCAGACACCUGCACAUGCUUGUGAAAACUGGAUGGCAACUGCCCCUUCACACCUGUAAGAGUUGCUUCUCCAUGACAACUCACAGAGCAACCAGAGGUAUUUUUAGUAGAGAUGGGGUUUCACCAUGUUGGCCAGGGUGGUCUCAAUCUCUUGACCUCAUGAUCCGCCUGCCUCAGCCUCCGAAGUGCUGAGAUUACAGGCAUGGGAGUGCUUCUUUAGAAGGGCAUUUAAAGGAUAGGUCAAGAGGCUUUUAAAAGUUGGUUUUGGAUUUUCAAUGCCCCUCCAUCACCAAAAGAAAAAUGAUCUUUCGUUCAGAGAAUUUCACUUUGAAGAGCAGAGGCAAAAGGAGAUUCACAGAGGGGCAGGAGCCGUCAAUGCUGUCUCGUGAGAGGAGAGAAGAGGCAUUAUGUGAUCUAACAUCCUUGAACACGUUUAUUACGAUCUGUCAUCUACAUAGCAACAGACAGGGCCAUGCUCAUAAACCAGAACUGGCACUAGAUCUGAAAAAAAAUUGCCCACCUUUGCCCUAAGGGACUACUCUAGGACAACAACUGUCUAGAAAAUACGGCACCGAACCAAGCAAUCAACUGCUUUUCUGCUGACACUGGCCAGCUUGCUGUGUACUUGUGUUUGCAACUCCUCCUUCGUG
Molecule: long non-coding RNA, 1218 nt
Filed under: Callithrix jacchus (white-tufted-ear marmoset)
Lineage: Eukaryota; Metazoa; Chordata; Mammalia; Primates; Cebidae
Description: lncRNA (ENSCJAG00000071977.1)
Source: RNAcentral